UACACACCGCCCGUCACGUCAUGGGAGUGGCCAAUGCCUGAAGUCCGUGGGCCAACCCUUCGGGGAGGCAGCGGCCGAGGGCAGGGUCGCGACUGGGACG
RNAcentral lists this ribosomal RNA (100 nucleotides) under uncultured bacterium. RNAcentral's name for it is "partial 16S ribosomal RNA". It matches the Rfam family "Bacterial small subunit ribosomal RNA", at positions 1384 to 1482 of the family's 1533-position model. The record is from RNAcentral.